Molecule: ribosomal RNA, 301 nt
Filed under: uncultured bacterium
Lineage: Bacteria
Description: partial 16S ribosomal RNA
Rfam family: Bacterial small subunit ribosomal RNA
Source: RNAcentral
CAGCAGCCGCGGGAAUACAGAGGGUGCGAGCGUUAAUCGGAUUUACUGGGCGUAAAGCGUGCGUAGGCGGCUUCUUAAGUCGGAUGUGAAAUCCCUGAGCUUAACUUAGGAAUUGCAUUCGAUACUGGGAAGCUAGAGUAUGGGAGAGGAUGGUAGAAUUCCAGGUGUAGCGGUGAAAUGCGUAGAGAUCUGGAGGAAUACCGAUGGCGAAGGCAGCCAUCUGGCCUAAUACUGACGCUGAGGUACGAAAGCAUGGGGAGCAAACAGGAUUAGAUACCCCCGUAGUCCCUGUCUAUUAUAC